CUCGAUGAGUAGGGCGGGACACGUGGUAUCCUGUCUGAAUAUGGGGGGACCAUCCUCCAAGGCUAAAUACUCCUGACUGACCGAUAGUGAACCAGUACCGUGAGGGAAAGGCGAAAAGAACCCCGGCGAGGGGAGUGAAAAAGAACCUGAAACCGUGUACGUACAAGCAGUGGGAGCACCCUUUGGGGUGUGACUGCGUACCUUUUGUAUAAUGGGUCAGCGACUUAUAUUCUGUAGCAAGGUUAACCGAAUAGGGGAGCCGGAGGGAAACCGAGUCUUAAUUGGGCGUUAAGUUGCAGGGUAUAGACCCGAAACCCGGUGAUCUAGCCAUGGGCAGGUUGAAGGUUGGGUAACACUAACUGGAGGACCGAACCGACUAAUGUUGAAAAAUUAGCGGAUGACCUGUGGCUGGGGGUGAAAGGCCAAUCAAACCGGGAGAUAGCUGGUUCUCCCCGAAAGCUAUUUAGGUAGCGCCUCGUGAAUUCAUCUCCGGGGGUAGAGCACUGUUUCGGCUAGGGGGCCAUCCCGGCUUACCAACCCGAUGCAAACUGCGAAUACCGGAGAAUGUUAUCACGGGAGACACACGGCGGGUGCUAACGUCCGUCGUGAAGAGGGAAACAACCCAGACCGCCAGCUAAGGUCCCAAAGUCAUGGUUAAGUGGGAAACGAUGUGGGAAGGCCCAGACAGCCAGGAUGUUGGCUUAGAAGCAGCCAUCAUUUAAAGAAAGCGUAAUAGCUCACUGGUCGAGUCGGCCUGCGCGGAAGAUGUAACGGGGCUAAACCAUGCACCGAAGCUGCGGCAGCGACGCUUAUGCGUUGUUGGGUAGGGGAGCGUUCUGUAAGCCUGUGAAGGUGUGUCGUGAGGCAUGCUGGAGGUAUCAGAAGUGCGAAUGCUGACAUAAGUAACGAUAAAGCGGGUGAAAAGCCCGCUCGCCGGAAGACCAAGGGUUCCUGUCCAACGUUAAUCGGGGCAGGGUGAGUCGACCCCUAAGGCGAGGCCGAAAGGCGUAGUCGAUGGGAAACGGGUUAAUAUUCCCGUACUUGGUGUUACUGCGAAGGGGGGACGGAGAAGGCUAUGUUGGCCGGGCGACGGUUGUCCCGGUUUAAGCGUGUAGGUGUGUGUUCCAGGUAAAUCCGGUUCACUUUAACACUGAGGCGUGAUGACGAGGCACUACGGUGCUGAAGCAACAAAUGCCCUGCUUCCAGGAAAAGCCUCUAAGCAUCAGGUAACAUCAAAUCGUACCCCAAACCGACACAGGUGGUCAGGUAGAGAAUACCAAGGCGCUUGAGAGAACUCGGGUGAAGGAACUAGGCAAAAUGGUGCCGUAACUUCGGGAGAAGGCACGCUGACACGUAGGUGAAGUGAUUUACUCAUGGAGCUGAAGUCAGUCGAAGAUACCAGCUGGCUGCAACUGUUUAUUAAAAACACAGCACUGUGCAAACACGAAAGUGGACGUAUACGGUGUGACGCCUGCCCGGUGCCGGAAGGUUAAUUGAUGGGGUCAGCGCAAGCGAAGCUCCUGAUCGAAGCCCCGGUAAACGGCGGCCGUAACUAUAACGGUCCUAAGGUAGCGAAAUUCCUUGUCGGGUAAGUUCCGACCUGCACGAAUGGCGUAAUGAUGGCCAGGCUGUCUCCACCCGAGACUCAGUGAAAUUGAACUCGCUGUGAAGAUGCAGUGUACCCGCGGCAAGACGGAAAGACCCCGUGAACCUUUACUAUAGCUUGACACUGAACAUUGAGCCUUGAUGUGUAGGAUAGGUGGGAGGCUUUGAAGUGUGGACGCCAGUCUGCAUGGAGCCGACCUUGAAAUACCACCCUUUAAUGUUUGAUGUUCUAACGUGGACCCGUGAUCCGGGUUGCGGACAGUGUCUGGUGGGUAGUUUGACUGGGGCGGUCUCCUCCUAAAGAGUAACGGAGGAGCACGAAGGUUGGCUAAUCCUGGUCGGACAUCAGGAGGUUAGUGCAAUGGCAUAAGCCAGCUUGACUGCGAGCGUGACGGCGCGAGCAGGUGCGAAAGCAGGUCAUAGUGAUCCGGUGGUUCUGAAUGGAAGGGCCAUCGCUCAACGGAUAAAAGGUACUCCGGGGAUAACAGGCUGAUACCGCCCAAGAGUUCAUAUCGACGGCGGUGUUUGGCACCUCGAUGUCGGCUCAUCACAUCCUGGGGCUGAAGUAGGUCCCAAGGGUAUGGCUGUUCGCCAUUUAAAGUGGUACGCGAGCUGGGUUUAGAACGUCGUGAGACAGUUCGGUCCCUAUCUGCCGUGGGCGCUGGAGAACUGAGGGGGGCUGCUCCUAGUACGAGAGGACCGGAGUGGACGCAUCACUGGUGUUCGGGUUGUCAUGCCAAUGGCACUGCCCGGUAGCUAAAUGCGGAAGAGAUAAGUGCUGAAAGCAUCUAAGCACGAAACUUGCCCCGA
This 2415-nucleotide ribosomal RNA is filed under the name Salmonella enterica subsp. enterica serovar Carmel. RNAcentral's name for it is "partial 23S ribosomal RNA". It matches the Rfam family "Bacterial large subunit ribosomal RNA", at positions 404 to 2802 of the family's 2925-position model. Lineage: Bacteria; Pseudomonadati; Pseudomonadota; Gammaproteobacteria; Enterobacterales; Enterobacteriaceae. The record is from RNAcentral.